RNAcentral lists this ribosomal RNA (253 nucleotides) under uncultured bacterium. Its description in RNAcentral is "partial 16S ribosomal RNA". It matches the Rfam family "Bacterial small subunit ribosomal RNA", at positions 524 to 776 of the family's 1533-position model. The record is from RNAcentral.
UACAGAGGUCCCAAGCGUUGUUCGGAUUCACUGGGCGUAAAGGGUGCGUAGGUGGCCGGGUAAGUCUGACGUGAAAUCUCCGAGCCUAACUCGGAAACUGCAUCGGAUACUAUCCGGCUUGAGGAUUGGAGGGGGGACUGGAAUACUUGGUGUAGCAGUGAAGUGCGUAGAUAUCAAGUGGAACACCAGUGGCGAAGGCGAGUCCCUGGACAAUUCCUGACACUGAGGCACGAAAGCUAGGGGAGCAAACAGG